AUCAACGCUGGCGGCGUGCCUGACACAUGCAAGUCGAACGCGAAAGUCCCGCAAGGGAUGAGUAGAGUGGCGAACGGGUGAGUAACGCGUGGGUGACCUGCCUUCGAGUGGGGGAUACCGUCUCGAAAGGGACGCUAAUACCGCAUACGCUCCUGGCCUUUGGAGAGGCGAGGAGGAAAGCCGGGGAUCGCAAGACCUGGCGCUGGAAGAGGGGCCCGCGUCCGAUUAGCUGGUUGGUGGGGUAAUGGCCUACCAAGGCGACGAUCGGUAGCCGGCCUAAGAGGGCGGACGGCCACACUGGGACUGAGACACGGCCCAGACUCCUACGGGAGGCAGCAGUGGGGAAUUGUUCGCAAUGGGCGCAAGCCUGACGACGCAACGCCGCGUGGAGGAUGAAGGCUUUCGGGGUCGUAAACUCCUGUCGUGCGGGACGAAUGGUCCGGCCGUGAAUAGCGGCCGGGCA
RNAcentral lists this ribosomal RNA (463 nucleotides) under uncultured bacterium. Its description in RNAcentral is "bacterial SSU rRNA". It matches the Rfam family "Bacterial small subunit ribosomal RNA", at positions 29 to 474 of the family's 1533-position model. The record is from RNAcentral.